RNAcentral lists this ribosomal RNA (547 nucleotides) under uncultured bacterium. RNAcentral's name for it is "bacterial SSU rRNA". It matches the Rfam family "Bacterial small subunit ribosomal RNA", at positions 8 to 569 of the family's 1533-position model. The record is from RNAcentral.
AGAGUUUGAUCAUGGCUCAGGAUUAACGCUGGCGGCGUGCCUAAUACAUGCAAGUCGAGCGCCCAGGACUCUGUUUAUCAGUUUAUGAUAGAUAUAGUCCUGGGAGCGGCAGACGGGUGAGUAACACGUUGGUAUCCACCUUGAAAUCAGGGAUAACUAUUAGAAAUAAUAGCUAAUACCGGAUGGUCUCGAAAGAGUAAAGCAGCAAUGCGUUUCAAGAGGUGCCUGCGGCCUAUCAGCUAGUUGGUGAGGUAAUGGCUCACCAAGGCUAUGACGGGUAGCUGGUCUGAGAGGAUGAUCAGCCACAAUGGGACUGAGACACGGCCCAUACUCCUACGGGAGGCAGCAGUAAGGAAUUUUUCACAAUGGGGGAAACCCUGAUGAAGCAACGCCGCGUGAAGGAUGAAGGCCUUUUGGUUGUAAACUUCUUUUCUGAGGGAAUAAAUAUGAAUGUACCUCAGGAAUAAGCAACGGCUAACUACGUGCCAGCAGCCGCGGUAAGACGUAGGUUGCAAGCGUUAUCCGGAAUUACUGGGCGUAAAGAGUU